AAGUGGGGAAAGAAGAAAAACAUGGAAGAGAAAAUAAGAGAAAAGGAGAGAAAAGAAGAAGAGAAAGAGGAAGAGGAAAGCUUGGAGAAAGAAGAAGAAACUCAUGAAAGAUCAUCAUCAUCUCCAAUAUUUCAUCUUCAUCUCAUCAAGGUAUUAUUUUGCAGGUUAAAGGUAAGAGGAGUUGCUUGUGGGUGUUCUAAAGUUUUAUUUAAUUGUGAUCUUUCGUUGUGGAUUGUAUGAAAUGAAGAUAUUGCACACAACUCUUAGCUUUUAUUUAGGCAAUAUUCUAUAACAUGUGCCAUAUAUGUUUCUUUUUAGUUUGGACAUGUGUAUAUAAUGAUUCCGUUAAACACUUGUGUUGUAUCAAUACCAAAAAUUAACACGUGUAUGAUAUUAUUCUAGAUAUAUAUUAUACGGUUUGUUAAACAAA
Molecule: long non-coding RNA, 430 nt
Organism: Lathyrus oleraceus (garden pea)
Lineage: Eukaryota; Viridiplantae; Streptophyta; Magnoliopsida; Fabales; Fabaceae
Exons: 2
Source: RefSeq, a predicted model, not a curated record